RNAcentral lists this long non-coding RNA (509 nucleotides) under Homo sapiens (human). Its description in RNAcentral is "HSALNT0302415". Lineage: Eukaryota; Metazoa; Chordata; Mammalia; Primates; Hominidae. The record is from RNAcentral.
UGGAACCAGCAAAGAAGACAGAAACAACAGCCACAGAGCUAAAAAGGAGAAGCAAGUGAGUCUCCAAAACUAAGUGAAAAAGAUGUGUUUUGAAGAAAAGGGAGUGAGCAACUGUGUUGAGUGCUGAAGACAGGUCAAGUAUAAAGAGGGCUGAGAUUGGACCACUGGAUUUGGCAGCAUGGAGGUACCUGAUGCCACCAAUUCCUGAGUUUUUCUGCUGUUCAGUGGAGUGGACUAUCGCCUUCAAAUUAGCCUGGCCCUGGGCAGCAACAUGGUGUAGUGAAAAGAAAGCAGGCUUUGGAAUGGAUAGAACUAUACUUGAAUCUCUGCUCUAUCACCUUAUCAUGUUAUGUCAAGCAAGUUACGGAACCUCCAUCAUUUGUCAGGCUAAUUGUUUUGUAUCCCAUGCCAUCUUUUUUGGUAAGCAUAUAAUUAAAUGCUUUUUAUUAAACUUACAGGUGUGCAAUCAUCACUAAAACCCAGCCUUGAACAUGUUUAUCCCCCUCAAA